This 374-nucleotide ribosomal RNA is filed under the name uncultured organism. RNAcentral's name for it is "bacterial SSU rRNA". It matches the Rfam family "Bacterial small subunit ribosomal RNA", at positions 526 to 896 of the family's 1533-position model. The record is from RNAcentral.
CGGGGGGAGCAAGCGUUGUUCGGAUUUACUGGGCGUAAAGGGCGCGUAGGCGGCCACCGCAAGUCGACUGUGAAAUCUCCGGGCUUAACCCGGAAAGGUCAGCCGAUACUGCGGGGCUAGAGUGCAGAAGGGGCAACUGGAAUUCUCGGUGUAGCGGUGAGAUGCGUAGAUAUCGAGAGGAACACCUGCGGCGAAGGCGGGUUGCUGGGCUGACACUGACGCUGAGGCGCGAAAGCUAGGGGAGCGAACGGGAUUAGAUACCCCGGUAGUCCUAGCCUUAAACGAUGAAUGCUUGGUGUCUGGGGUUUUAUAGUCCCCGGGUGCCGUCGCUAACGCUUUAAGCAUUCCGCCUGGGGAGUACGGUCGCAAGACUG